UUUGAUCUUUUGUCCCUCUGAAAAUUAAAGAAUUAGAUUAGAACACUAAAACAACAAACUUAGGUAAGUAUAUGUCGCGAAACAAUAUGGUAUGGGUUUUCAUAUUGGUAGAAGUAAUGAAUAAACAAUGUAAACGUCCCUCCAUUACUUCAAUGACGCCCUAAACUAUUAGUACUAGUAGAUGACCUUAGUUUAGCUAACCUAAACCUACCUAAGCUCUUUAGCUCCCGUAAUGCUUGUCAUUCGAAAUCAAAGCCAAAACCAACCACAAUUAAUUCCUUCCAAGUUCUAACCUAAUACCUCGAUCAGCUGUUUUUCCUUUCCAAUCCACAACCGCACAAACAUUAUUUUUCUGAUACUUCUAGCGGAUUAAAGUUUGCAUCAUUACAACUUUUUGACAUGACAUUAAUUCAUUAUCAUUUUCAACCUUGUCAUAAAACAAAACCAUAAAUAACUAACAUUAGUACCAGCUCCGGUCACUUAAAUUUGACGUUUCAGACUGUUUUCGACUUGCACGUAAUUUUAUCUCGCUUUCCUGGAAUGUCAACUAAUCACCCAAAAUCAAAAACUUUUCAAAAUUCUUCAUCACAUCAAAUCUUGCGGCACAUGCAUAGAGCAUUAAAUAUAGACAAAAAUAAACUAAUUGCACAAUUUACCUGUAAAUCGCGAGAUGAAUCUUUUAAGUCUAAUUACUUCAUGAUUAGACAAUAUUUGUCAAAUAAAAACAAAAGUACUACAUCUAAAAACCAAAAAAAAUUCGAAACUAAACAACACCUAAAAGUUACUCGAGAGAGCAAAACAGAGUAAGGAAUAAUCCAAGUUGAUCAUCUUGAUUCAACCAUGCGCACACGUGUUGCUUUCCAACCCUAG
This 870-nucleotide long non-coding RNA is filed under the name Sorghum bicolor (sorghum). RNAcentral describes it as "long non-coding RNA (SBIC_LNC001714)". The record is from RNAcentral. Lineage: Eukaryota; Viridiplantae; Streptophyta; Magnoliopsida; Poales; Poaceae.